CAGCCGCCGCGGUAAUACAGAGGGUGCAAGCGUUAAUCGGAAUUACUGGGCGUAAAGCGCGCGUAGGUGGUUCGCCAAGUUGGAUGUGAAAUCCCCGGGCUCAACCUGGGAAUGGCAGUGGAUACUGGCAAGCUAGAGUGUGUCAGAGGAUGGUGGAAUUCCCGGUGUAGCGGUGAAAUGCGUAGAGAUCGGGAGGAACAUCAGUGGCGAAGGCGGCCAUCUGGGACAACACUGACGCUGAGGCACGAAAGCGUGGGGAGCAAACAGGAUUAGAUACCCGUGUAGUCCCUGUCUCUUAUAA
RNAcentral lists this ribosomal RNA (301 nucleotides) under uncultured bacterium. RNAcentral's name for it is "partial 16S ribosomal RNA". It matches the Rfam family "Bacterial small subunit ribosomal RNA", at positions 509 to 809 of the family's 1533-position model. The record is from RNAcentral.